GGUAAUAUCACUCAUUUAUCAUUUAAGGUAAUAUGCACAGGUUCUGAAGGUUAGGAAAUGAGUAUGUCUUUGGCAGGGCAGACAUUUUACCUGCCGACCAUACCAAUCCUACCACCAGUAACAACCAGAAAAGCUCAACAAAACAUUGAACAAACAAAAAAAUCUGUGUGAAGACCAAAGACCCAAGUCCUUGCAAGAACCUAAGUAUUCAAGAUCAUGAAGGAAAGGGUGGUGCAAAGAGGAGACCCAACCUCUCUACUGGAUGUUUUACAAAUAUAGCAUUGACUGGCGUUUAAGACUGUUGCUGUAAGUUUAUGUUGGGAGUAACAACGAUCAAAGCAGAAGAUAAUUUUUACUUUUCUAUACCAUCUAUGCAUGGAAGUCUAUCUACAUGGCCCAUACAGGCUUAUCAUAUGACCUUGUAACUGCUUUCAUGUUGACUUCUCCAGGACUCAAAGAACAGUCAAGGGCAAUGCUAAGCAACACCAGCCAUCACCAUCCGGCUCUCCACUCCGACCUUCAGUAACCACUCACUUACCCAACAGAUAUACACUGAGCACCUACUAUGUACAGGUUCAAGCCAACAGCCAUGUGGGUGAGACCUCCUGGAGGCAGAUUGUCCAGGCUCAAUCAAAGCACAGAAGACUGCAGCCCUAGCCAAUGUCUUAGACUGCAACCUCACAAGGGACCUUGAGCCAGAACCACCCAGCCACUCCUGGAUUCCUGGCGCAC
This 732-nucleotide long non-coding RNA is filed under the name Homo sapiens (human). RNAcentral's name for it is "HSALNT0335598". The record is from RNAcentral. Lineage: Eukaryota; Metazoa; Chordata; Mammalia; Primates; Hominidae.